Molecule: long non-coding RNA, 5347 nt
Filed under: Ananas comosus (pineapple)
Lineage: Eukaryota; Viridiplantae; Streptophyta; Magnoliopsida; Poales; Bromeliaceae
Description: long non-coding RNA (ACOM_LNC005050)
Source: RNAcentral
UGCCCAAAUAAGAAUUUCCGAACAAAAAAAUGCCCUUGUUCCAGCUUAUACUCACAUUUUCAUCUAAACUUACAAAAACUCAUACUUGUACCUAUCUCCGGAAUAACUAGUUCCUGCUAAUUUCCAAAACCAAACGAAGCCUUAGGGGGUGACCAGACUGAUUCUAUGACCAGACGGAGCCGCAGUUUGUGGUGGACAGAAACAGCUGAUAUUUUGUGAGAUGGGAUUUGGUGUGGAUCGUAUCAAGUUAAGUGAAAUGUCUAAUCCUGGACUAAAUCGGAUGCGUAGCAAAGUGUCAUAUCCCAAAUAGUUAGUUCCACCCGAAAAAAUGAGGAGGAUUUCUGAUCCAUUAUAGGUAAUUAAUCUAGGCUUAAUCAUCCUACAACCAACUGUUUUAUAUAUACCCGACAAACUACUUGUGCCAGCGGUGUUUGGUUUGGUAUGUUGUACAAAGACUUUAUUGGCUACGUUAUUAAAAGUCAACAUAAUGCUAUAUUAGGCAAGCUCAGUUCAGGUGAAAAAUGCACUAACAAGAUAAAAAUUGUAAGGCUCAAUUUCAACUGUUAUUGGCUACGUUAUUUUAUUUGCAUUAAGAUUUGUAGUUGCAAAAAAAAUAUUCUUCUUUCCAUAUAAAGAAUGACAAAUGGUUGAAAUUGAGCUUUCAAACUAAUUUUGUUAGUGCACCCUUCAUCUGUGCUGACCAUGUUUAGAUCCUUUCAUUUAUGCAGUUUCUAAUGAGUUUUGUCUCGAAAAAUUGGCGAUCUUGAAUUUGUAAGGUAUAUUUCGUGUUUAGACAUGCACGUAAGUUGCAGCUUCAUGACUUAAAAUUGUCAGGCCGCUAUAUUAGUAAAGGUCGCAAGUGCCAAUAUGAUGAUGGGCAAUAUAUUGUUUUAUGUGGAGCUGGAUUACCUUUACUUUCCAUAUGGAACAAUUGGAUCCAUUCUAGCUUUGCUCAAGGCACCUAGUGUUUAGUUGACGAAUUAGAUUUAUUACUGUAGAAACUUGUUCUCACUAUCUAGCUAGCUGACCGACUGUACUUCAAAGCAAGUGGCAGAGGGCUUGGUAAUUGAUACUUCAGGUUCCAAAUUCGAAGUCUAAUUAAUUCGCAUGUUCAAUUAAAUUUAUUUUUUUAGAAAAAAUUAACGUAAUAGUUAGCAUGUUACCUUUUUCUCACAAAAAGAUAUCUAGCUAGCUUAUUCUAAAUGUUGAACCAUUACUAGCCGAGUAUAUUUGCAAAACUACCUCAUCAUCUGCACAUUAGGGUACGUUCUGAGGUGGUCUAGCAUUUUCCUCGUACACCAGCUCACCAAAACAGCUGUUCAUAAUUUGACCACUUACCCAUAACCUGGGGCCUAUGCACGUGGGCUUUUUAGAAAAGAGAUUUGAUACCCAACCUGCUAGUUUUAAAGUAGUCCCCACGUACAUCUCUUUCGUUACACUUUCUCUCCCACCUGGCAGUGUCUAGAUACUUCAUUUUUAAUAUGGCACCCUAGUCUUUUCAAUAGAAAAGUUUGAAAAAUGUCCAUUAGCAGUAGAAUCUUAUGAGCAUAUAUCCUGCUCUUAUGUCAUUCAUGUUGGAUUCAUCAUUAGGAUUAUGUCAUUGUAAUCUUUUAUAUUUGGAACUGUUAAAUAAGUAUUAAACAUGUUUCUCUGUUGAUUAAUUUGAAUCGCAAUGGAUGAUUUGCUAGCAGAGAUUAUCAAGCACGUCUUCUUUACCUAUUAAUCACGAAAUUCACAUGUUAAUGCACGCCACGUGUUGCUUCGAGAUGAAUGGCUGCCGCUGACACCGCAAGUUAUAGGAAAUUAUUUAUAUGUUGAAUGCGUAUUAUUUAUCUAAGAAGAUGAUUCCUUAAUAGGUCAUUGUUGCCCCCAUUAAGUAUAUUUUAUUUGGUUUAUACUUGGCACAUGUACAUGUGACGUGAAUUUCGUAAUGCAUCAAACAACAAGUAUUGUUGAAUAUCAUUUAGUGUAUUAGAAAGUGUAAAUUCCACACUACAUUUAACCUUGUCUGAUUGAUUCUCACUACUAUAUGGUGGAUAUGCAGCUCAAAUUAGUUCUCCUUGCAUUUGACACCUUUGUGUGCAAUUUAUGAGGUCAAAAGCUUUGGCCAAUCCUUAUGGUCUAGCAGGCCCAAUUUAUGGCGGCAUUGAUUCAUUUUCAACUGUGAAAGUGGACCCAUUGGAUUAUUUGUUCUGUGAUUUCAAUAAAGUAUGGAGUUGAAUCUCAAAUUAUCCUAGUAAGAAAUAGGAAAAUGCUACAAGAACACCCAGAAACAGGGUGCAUAAUAUACACCCCCUUAUCCUAGGAUGUGUAAAACCUUUUGGAUAUUUAGUAUUUAAAAAAAAAAAAUGUCGAAGACAACGGCCCAUUAUGGGCCCUUGGAUGACGGGAUGUAAGAUUUAUACCCGCUUUUUUGGUGUACAGAUAGUAAUUCUCUAAGAAAUAAGGAUGACGACUUAGUCCUGAACAUUUAGCAGAGUUUGUGUUUGGUACUUUUUAAAGCAUGUAUCGAACACCUUAAACUCUUUGUAUUUUUUUUUUAUAACCUUCCAGUAGGAAGUAAAUUUCUCUACUGGUCCCUCGACUUUCAUUAAGUUUUAUGUUGGUCCUAGAACUUUUAAAGUUCAAUAAUUGCAACCCUGAAUUUUUUUUGUUAUUGUUUCGCUUUAGUCCUCUAUUCAUCUCUUUCUUCUUAUUUAAUAGUUUGUUUUCUAAUUAGUGACAAAGUCGGAACUUAAUGGUGUUAUGAUUGAAAUAUGAGAUGGGAUUAUUGAAAUGUAAGAAGGGACUAAGCAUUGAUAGAUACCAGGUACUUGGAUAUAUAGAUUCACUAGAACUUUAAACUUUUCUUAUAAGUAAGGUUUACAACACAAGUGAAACACUUUUAAAAGUUUAGGGUGUUGAAUGUCGAAAUUAAAAGUUCCAGAGCCUGGAAUAUGGCCGGGUGUAAAUUUGGUCUCAAUCUAAGGACAUCUUUUUGCAGCUGUGUUGGGGUGUUGAUUGUCGAACUUCAAAGUCCCAGGGCUUGGAAUAUGGGUGUCAAUUUGGUUUCAAUCUAAGGACAUCCUUUGACAGCCGUGUUUGCUUACGCACGUCAAGGAAUAAUUAUUCCUUUUAGGAUUAAGUUGGACCAGUAGCAACCGAACUUUUAGUGUAGCUUCUGUCUGGCCCAUGCACUGUUAAUGCGUGCAAGGAAUCCCAAUUGAAUUUAUUUUGACUUACCAAAAUAUGCACUUAGGACCUAUAGUUGCAGUCAUUCGUAUCUAAUUUAUAUCUUAUCAUAAUUCACACAAAAUUAUUACCACCCAAGUGAAGAAACAACUCAUUGGCCCUUUACGAUACCACCUUUUCUUAAAAUGGAAUAGCUAGCUUAUGUUUUUAGAAGACUCACUGCCUUAUAUCUCUUGGAGAAACAGAGACUGAGCAAUAGCGUGAUCUUGUGCAAAAUAUUUAACAUGAUAUGUAUAGCCUACUAAUUAGAUGCAGGACAGUAGAGAAGUAUAAUGGGCUGGCUUAAAAUAAUCAGUCUUUAUAUAGACAUAUAAAUAAAAUGUUACUUAAACUGGAGCAAUAGAAUAUAAUUUUAUAACUAUCAUGGACACUUGACAAGAUGCAACAUGACUGAACUUUGUCAUGAAUAUUCCCUCCACAAUAUGUGGUAAUAGGGAUUGUUGAUGCAAUACACAGCCUAUGCGUCAUCGAAAAGCAUCCGUCGCGUUGAGAUGUGGACAAUCUGAAGGACGGGAAGAAGGCACCAAAUUUUCUAGCCAAAGGCAAGGUGCAGCCCCGAGGCCAAUGUCAAUAAUAAUUUGCAAUGGCUGUGGUGUUUUCUUCAGCAUGAGCAAUAUAAGUUGCAAUGUCAGUAUUUAUGGAAGGAGUGCUUGGAGUAUAAAAAUGAUAAAUUUUGUAUAAUUCCUGCUCUUUUUUUUCACCUUUCUUUCACCUCUCAGUGCUUGAUUUUAUGAAUUCCAGUAAUUGACCUCCAUCCAGUCACUAAUCAAGCUCCUUUAUCUCUUUUUGUCUUUCCUUUCCCCAUCGCCUUCUCAGUAAUUUGAAAAGAAAAGGGUCAGCGGAGAUUAUUAUCUAUUAUUAAACAACACUACAUCUUACAACAAGCCAACUAGAUGGUUGGAUGGAUUUACACCCUCUUUAGCAUGUGCCAAGUCAUUAAUUUGGGAGGACUUCCAACUUGAAAGUCUCCGUUUUUAGAAAUAUCAAUAGUUAGGAAACACUAAAUUGUGAUUUAGAUGGAUUUCUAAUCAUUUCAAAUGACUUGAAUAAGUAUAUGAAAAUCAAAUAAUUUGAUGUUUGAACUUCCAUAAUUUGAGUUUACUAAAGUUACGAAAAAGUUUCUAUCCAACGGUGAACGCCCUAAUGAAAGAGCAGCGGCAUGAUAAAUGAAUUGGAAAUUGAAAUUUUAAUUUAUGAUUUUUAGAAAUCAAGUAAUCAAAUCACAGAAAACAAAAAAAACACUAUAUUAGAUCAAACUAAAAAAAUAUUUUGCAUCUCUUGACGUCUAGGUGGAUUAUUUUUCAUUUCCAUAUACAAACCACAAAGGUUAAAAUUCAAGAUUUCAAGUUCACCUUGUGCCACUUAAGGCUUAUGAUUUAUGGCACAGUUGAUCUCAUUGUCAAUACUUAUCGAUUCGUUUUUCUGCAAAUCUAGAAGUCUUCAAAGUCACCAAACGCAAUUGCGAAAGUUGUGGACUUCAAAGAUAGUGUUACUGGUGUAACGACCUGACUCGCUAGCAAUAAUAACUCAUUGGGCCCAAACCAUCAGCCCAAAAUGCUUAAACCCAAUUAUUAUUUCUAGCCUAAUCAAGCUUAUAUACCCUCACAUCUAGCCAUAACUAUUCGAUGUGGGACUAUUGGGGUGUCACAGAUUCCACCUGUUUAGGCCCUGACGUCUUCGUUAGCCCUAAACACACAUAGCCUAAGAUUACUAGGUGAUGUGAGACUUGUCUCGCUAGCCUUAUCAUUCUGACCCUGGCUUAGCCGAGACUCAUCUCACACUUUCAGCUGGUGAACUGGUUUUGAUGCCAAAUGUAACGACCUGACUCAUCACACUUUCAGCUGGUGAACCGAUUUUGAUACCAAAUAUAACGACCUGACUCACUAGUAAUAAUAAUUCGUUGGGUCCAAACCGCCAGCCCAAAAUGCUUAAACCUAGUUAUUAUGUCUUAUCCUAAUCAAGCUUAUAUACCCCUACAUCUAGCCAUAACUAUCCGAUGUGGGACUAUUGGGGUGUCACAACUAGUCCUAGGAGAAGUUUGAUAGCAGAGAAUACGUAUGAAGAAAGAAGUCCAAGCAGGGAGCAUGAGCAAGAUGAAAAUUUUCAACUUUCGUAU